UCAUCAGUCUCAUUCGAGAAGAAUUUUGUGAUCUUUGGCAUGGGACUUACGAUUUGAACAACCCAAGCGUUGAACCGCUGAUACAAAGCGACGAUGAAGAAGACUGUAUUUUUGACAGGACAGCGGGCGCAGAAGGCCGGAACCUCGGCAACAAUAAGCACGUUAAGGAGGAAGAUGAAUUGAUCAAUUAAUGGGAACUGUGCAAUCGAUUUAAAUAUAAAGCUGUGGGUCUAUGUCCAUAGAAAGUCACUUCAAAGGACGUUCUUCCAAAUUACAUAGUACCGCGCAGUGUAUAGCACUUUAUAGAUAAUAGCAACUAUAUUUCUAUACAGCUGAGUGAAGAAAUCAAACUCCAGCAACUAUAAUGGCAUUUGUAUACUUACAUAAAUUAUAUUUGUAAUUGUGUA
Long non-coding RNA from Xenia sp. Carnegie-2017, 407 nucleotides. RefSeq lists it as uncharacterized. NCBI's taxonomy places the organism in Eukaryota, Metazoa, Cnidaria, Anthozoa, Malacalcyonacea, Xeniidae. The transcript has 2 exons. The record is from RefSeq and is a predicted model, not a curated record.